This 445-nucleotide ribosomal RNA is filed under the name uncultured bacterium. Its description in RNAcentral is "partial 16S ribosomal RNA". It matches the Rfam family "Bacterial small subunit ribosomal RNA", at positions 330 to 792 of the family's 1533-position model. The record is from RNAcentral.
CCCAGACUCCUACGGGAGGCAGCAGUGGGGAAUUUUGCGCAAUGGGGGAAACCCUGACGCAGCAACGCCGCGUGCGGGACGAAGGCCCUCGGGCUGUAAACCGCUUUCAGCAGGGAAGACAUCGACGGUACCUGCAGAAGAAGCUCCGGCUAACUACGUGCCAGCAGCCGCGGUAAUACGUAGGUGGCAAGCGUUAUCCGGAUUUACUGGGUGUAAAGGGAGCGUAGGCGGCCUGCCAAGUCUGAUGUGAAAUACCGGGGCUCAACCCCGGGGCUGCAUUGGAAACUGGCAGGCUGGAGUGUCGGAGAGGCAGGCGGAAUUCCUAGUGUAGCGGUGAAAUGCGUAGAUAUUAGGAGGAACACCGGUGGCGAAGGCGGCCUGCUGGACUGCGACUGACGUUGAGGCCCGAAAGCGUGGGGAGCAAACAGGAUUAGAUACCCCGGUA